RNAcentral lists this unclassified non-coding RNA (401 nucleotides) under Hevea brasiliensis (rubber tree). The record is from RNAcentral. Lineage: Eukaryota; Viridiplantae; Streptophyta; Magnoliopsida; Malpighiales; Euphorbiaceae.
CUCCACAUGAUAUUUGUCCUGUACCCCAGAGGCCGCAUAUACAACUUGUAGUAAAUACAAUAUUUAAUCAGGCUGCGUUACUCUUAAUCCAAGCUUCCUACUGGAUUGAUGUUUUGUUAGUUCGAGCUGUGUCUGGUGGAGCUGCUAAGACAGAUCUGGUGGCCCGAGUUAAGUGUAAAGCUCCAAGGAAAAUAACAUGUAGUGCAGUUUCUCCUUCUGGCGGCUUUUUUGCUUUUUCUGAUCAUGUAAAAUGCUGCCUUUUUGAGCUUAAGAGAAUUGCUUCCAGUAAGAGUCCAUGGGCAGUCAACAAAAGUCAUCUUCCUUUGGAUCUGCCAUUUGCCCAUUCAAUGGUUUUCAGUGCUGAUUCUUCUCGGUUGAUGAUAGCAGGGUGUGACAGAAGG